ACUGUUCCUUCACGUUUAAUCCUGAAUAGCAACUCGGGGCAUGUUUUGAAGCAUCACAGUAGCUUCUUGAUCGAUCUUCGUCAAUAUUGAACAAACUUGACAUAUGUAGUAGAUACGGCCCUCAUUGGCACCAGAUUUGAAAUCGGGAUCCAAUUUUUGAACUGUUCAAAAAUAUAAUCCCGAUUCUCGAAAUCAUUGAUAGUACGUGGUAACCUCCAGGUAGUUGUAA
Molecule: long non-coding RNA, 229 nt
Organism: Thalassophryne amazonica
Lineage: Eukaryota; Metazoa; Chordata; Actinopteri; Batrachoidiformes; Batrachoididae
Exons: 3
Source: RefSeq, a predicted model, not a curated record